CCUACGGGAGGCAGCAGUGGGGAAUAUUGCACAAUGGGGGGAACCCUGAUGCAGCGACGCCGCGUGAGUGAAGAAGUAUUUCGGUAUGUAAAGCUCUAUCAGCAGGGAAGAAAAUGACGGUACCUGACUAAGAAGCCCCGGCUAACUACGUGCCAGCAGCCGCGGUAAUACGUAGGGGGCAAGCGUUAUCCGGAUUUACUGGGUGUAAAGGGAGCGUAGACGGCAGAGCAAGUCUGAAGUGAAAGCCCGGGGCGGAACCGCGGAACUGCUUUGGAAACUGCGCGGCUAGAGUGCAGGAGAGGUAAGUGGAAGUCCUAGUGUAGCGGUGAAAUGCGUAGAUAUUAGGAGGAACACCAGUGGCGAAGGCGGCUUACUGGACAGUAACUGACGUUGAGGCUCGAAAGCGUGGGGAGCAAACAGGAUUAGAUACCCCAGUAGUC
Molecule: ribosomal RNA, 440 nt
Filed under: uncultured bacterium
Lineage: Bacteria
Description: partial 16S ribosomal RNA
Rfam family: Bacterial small subunit ribosomal RNA
Source: RNAcentral